AAUGGGGUGCCUGAAUAAAGGGUUACCUUGAUAGGGUAAAUCAUGUAAGACGCUAGCUUACCCUCAUUA
This 69-nucleotide transfer RNA is filed under the name Neoperla sp. FS-2017. RNAcentral's name for it is "tRNA-Ile". Lineage: Eukaryota; Metazoa; Arthropoda; Insecta; Plecoptera; Perlidae. The record is from RNAcentral.